RNAcentral lists this ribosomal RNA (254 nucleotides) under uncultured bacterium. Its description in RNAcentral is "partial 16S ribosomal RNA". It matches the Rfam family "Bacterial small subunit ribosomal RNA", at positions 524 to 776 of the family's 1533-position model. The record is from RNAcentral.
GACAGAGGGGGCAAGCGUUGCUCGGAAUUACUGGGCGUAAAGGGCGCGCAGGCGGCUGCUCAAGUCAGGCGUGAAAGGCCUGGGCUCAACCCGGGAAUUGCGCUUGAGACUGGGCUGGCUUGAGUGCGGGAGAGGAUGGUGGAAUUCCCAGUGUAGAGGUGAAAUGCGUAGAUAUCUGGAGGAACACCGGUGGCGAAGGCGGCAUCCUGGACCAACACUGACACUGAGGAGCGAAAGCCAGGGGAGCAAACGGG